This 774-nucleotide ribosomal RNA is filed under the name uncultured Neocallimastigales. RNAcentral's name for it is "partial large subunit ribosomal RNA". It matches the Rfam family "Eukaryotic large subunit ribosomal RNA", at positions 22 to 628 of the family's 3401-position model. Lineage: Eukaryota; Fungi; Neocallimastigomycota; Neocallimastigomycetes; Neocallimastigales. The record is from RNAcentral.
GUACACGCUGUGACUAGCAUAUCAAUAAGCGGAGGAAAAGAAACUAACAAGGAUUCCCCUAGUAACGGCGAGUGAAGCGGGAAGAGCUCAAAUUUGAAAUCUUAAAGGGUUUCCCUUUACGAAUUGUAGUUUAAAGAAGUGUUUUCUGUUGAGGUUUUGGUAAAAGUUCUUUGGAAUAGGACAUCAUAGAGGGUGAGAAUCCCGUAUUUGACCUUUACUUUCAACUUUGUGAUACACUUUCAAAGAGUCGGAUUGUUUGGGAAUGCAGUCCAAAAUGGGUGGUAAAUUUCAUCUAAAGCUAAAUAUUGGCGAGAGACGGAUAGCGAACAAGUACCGUGAGGGAAAGAUGAAAAGAACUUUGAAAAGAGAGUUAAACAGUACGUGAAAUUGUCAAAAGGGAAGCGUUUGACACCAGUGUUGUUUUUCUGAAAAUCAAUUAAAGAACUGUUUAUGCUAAGCUGUUUAGACUUUAUCAGCUAUCUGUUUAGUUUUAGGCUUUUCUUUAAUGCACUUUUCAGUUAACAAGUCAACAUCAAUUUCUUUUGCUGUAAAAAAGCUUGAGGAAGGUGGCUUGAGAUUCGUCUUAAGUGUUUAUAGCCUCUUGCCUAUGCAGUCGGAGAGAUUGAGGUCUGCAGCGUAGAUCCUUCGGGGCUAAACGCAUUUGUGCUAAGUUAUAGCAUUUUAUAGACAACUUGUUGACUAUGAUUUGUCUUGUAGCUUACUCGCUUAUGUCAUUUUACCUACGCUUAGGAUGUUGAGUCGUAGAACACGCAG